This 131-nucleotide small nucleolar RNA is filed under the name Leptosomus discolor (cuckoo roller). RNAcentral describes it as "Small nucleolar RNA SNORA24". It matches the Rfam family "Small nucleolar RNA SNORA24". Rfam says of the family: ACA24 is a member of the H/ACA class of snoRNA that guide the sites of modification of uridines to pseudouridines. Lineage: Eukaryota; Metazoa; Chordata; Aves; Leptosomiformes; Leptosomidae. The record is from Rfam by way of RNAcentral.
AUCCAUGACUCCAUGGGGACUGCCGCCCAUGGCUGUCUCCCUUCCUAGGCAUGGAAGAGCAGUGCCUUGCGAAUUGGCAAAAAUUUUACCCUCUCGUAGGUAUUAGUCGUUGACUGUAGCAAGUAACAGGC